GCAAAAUGACCCCGUAACUUCGGGAGAAGGGGGGCCUCUGAUGUAAUAAGACUUGCUCUGAAAGCGUUGGUGGCCGCAGAGAACAGGCUCAAGCGACUGUUUACCAAAAACACAGGUCCGUGCUAAAGCGAAAGCUGAUGUAUACGGGCUGACGCCUGCCCAGUGCCGGUAGGUUAAGGGAGGAGGUGAGAGCUUCCGACUGAAGCCCCGGUGAACGGCGGCCGUAACUAUAACGGUCCUAAGGUAGCGAAGUCCCUUGUCGGGUAAGUUCCGACCCGCACGAAUGGCGUAACGACUUGAACACUGUCUCAACGAUGGACUCGGUGAAAUUGCAGGACCCGUAAAGAUGCGGGUUACGCGCAGCAGGACAAAAAGACCCCGUGGAGCUUUACUGCAGCUUGACAUUGGUUCGAGCUUUAACCUGUGUAGGAUAGGCGGGAGACUAUGAAUUAGAUGCGCCAGCAUUUAAGGAGUCGCCCUUGAAAUACCGCCCUGCUUACAGUUUGAAUCUAACUUUUACUAGAACAGUGUCUGGUGGGCAGUUUGACUGGGGCGGUCGCCUCCCAAAGAGUAACGGAGGCGCACAAAGGUCACCUCAGGCUGGAUGGAAAUCAGCCUUAGAGCGUAUUGGUAUAAGGUGGCUUGACUGCGAGACAUACAAGUCGAGCAGGGACGAAAGUCGGUCAAAGUGAUCCCACGGUACCGUGUGGAAGGGCCGUGGCUUAACGGAUAAAAGCUACCCCGGGGAUAACAGGCUUAUCUCGCCCAAGAGUCCGUAUCGACGGCGAGGUUUGGCACCUCGAUGUCGGCUCGUCGCAUCCUGGGGCUGAAGAAGGUCCCAAGGGUCGGGCUGUCCGCCCGUUAAAGCGGCACGCGAGCUGGGUUCAGAGCGUCGUGAGACAGCUCGGUCUCUAUCCGCUGUGCGCGAAAGAUAUUUGAGGGGAUCUGUUUCUAGUACGAGAGGACCGAAAUGGACGAAUCCCUGGUGUGCCGGUUGUGACGCCAGUCGCAUUGCCGGGUAGCUACAUUCGGAAGGGAUAAACGCUGAAAGCAUCUAAGUGUGAAGCCCACCUCAAGAUAAGAUUUCCCACAGAGUUAAUCUGGUAAGACCCCUUGUAGAUAACGAGGUUGAUAGGCCAAGUGUGUAAGCGCGGUGACGUGUUUAGCUAAUUGGUACUAAUUGGUCGAGGGCUUAACUUA
Molecule: ribosomal RNA, 1200 nt
Filed under: marine metagenome
Description: bacterial LSU rRNA
Rfam family: Bacterial large subunit ribosomal RNA
Source: RNAcentral